GCGGCUGUAGCUCAGUUGGUAGAGCACCACCUUGCCAAGGUGGAUGUCACGAGUUCGAGCCUCGUCAGCCGCUCCA
Molecule: transfer RNA, 76 nt
Filed under: Thalassotalea loyana
Lineage: Bacteria; Pseudomonadati; Pseudomonadota; Gammaproteobacteria; Alteromonadales; Colwelliaceae
Also listed under: 3 other names
Description: tRNA-Gly
Rfam family: tRNA
About the family: Transfer RNA (tRNA) molecules are approximately 80 nucleotides in length. Their secondary structure includes four short double-helical elements and three loops (D, anti-codon, and T loops).
Source: RNAcentral